Long non-coding RNA from Mastomys coucha (southern multimammate mouse), 497 nucleotides. RefSeq lists it as uncharacterized. NCBI's taxonomy places the organism in Eukaryota, Metazoa, Chordata, Mammalia, Rodentia, Muridae. The transcript has 3 exons. The record is from RefSeq and is a predicted model, not a curated record.
GUCAAGUGAAAGCCACCUUGUCAAGGAGGAUGGAAUAGCUAGACAGGGGUACAGUGAGGCCAACGCAGGGGAGUGUGGAUGUCAAUUCUGGAGCAAACAGUAUGGCACGGGACCAUCUGCUACCGGCCCCAGCCCAGAUGAUACAGUUGGAGCCUGCCCACAGCAUCCUCUCCCGCCUUCAGACGGUUCCAGGAACGAGAACCAUGCUGUGUGUCUGUAUGAAACGUGAGACGAUACAGGCUUAUCUGACCCAUCUACGAUGCCAGUAAGUGCGAAGGAGGACCACACAUGGGAAGGGUCUGUUCUGCUGCCCAGCAAUCAUGUUUUCUAUCAUAUGGAGCUGUGACAGUGCCAUCUGAGUUUGCUAAGAAGCUAUAGAGACCUGGAAGGCCAGACUCUCCGGACACAUCACCAUCCCCAUGUACUUCUUGAGCCCUAGAACAGGCCUCCCACACCCUGUCCUCCCCAGGGACCCUCAUUAAAGAGUUCACAGGUAA